UGGCUCUGAGGAAGCAUGGCCGAGAAGCUCCAGGUAGAUAACCGAGCAGAGAUGCCUCCUUGUGUAACUGUUCUGAUUAUUGGAGCUGGAUGCCGGGGAAAACGCUACUCUUAUUUUGCUGUGCAUUUUCCCAAUCGAAUGAAGGUAGUUGGAGUUGCAGAUCCUCGUGCUUUUGCUAGAAAUGACCUUCAGAAGAUUCACAGCAUUGACAAGAAAAAUGUAUUUAAUGACUGGAAAGUAGCCACAGAGAGAGAGAGGUUUGCGGAUGCUGUUAUAAUAGCAACACCAGACAGACUGCAUAAGGCUCCAGCGAUAGCUUUUGCUAACAAAGGCUACCACAUUUUGUUGGAAAAGCCCAUGGCAGUAACACCUGAGGACUGCAAAGAAAUUGUGUCUGUAUGUGCAGCUAACAAUGUCAUGCUUGCAGUGUGCCAUGUCCUGCGGUACUAUCCAGCCUCACUGAAGAUAAAGGAGCUACUAGAUGCUGGAGCAAUUGGAGACAUCUGCCACAUACAGCAUCUGGAGCCCGUUGGAUUCUGGCAUUUUGCCCACUCGUUUGUGAGAGGAAAUUGGAGGAAUGAAGCAGAAAGUACAUUUUCUUUGUUAGCCAAGUCCUGCCAUGACAUCGACCUCAUUAAUUUUUGGAUGGGUGAUAAAAGGUGCUUAAAGGUGUCAUCUUUUGGCAGUCUUUCUCAUUUUACUAAUGAGCAUAAGCCCAAAGGAGCUGCCAGUCGGUGCUUAGACUGUUCAGUUGAACAAACCUGUCCAUAUUCAGCCAAGAAGAUUUAUCUGCAACGUGCAGAGAAGGGUUAUUUUAAUUGGCCAGUAUCUGUUGUGUGCAAUAGUGGUGUUUGUGACAUAGAAGCUGUGACAGAGGCCCUGCGCAGCGGUCCAUAUGGAAGAUGUGUUUAUGAAUGUGACAAUGAUGUUGUCAGUAACCAGGUUGUUAAUAUGGAGUUUGAAGGAGGAGCAACAGCUGCUUUUACUAUGAUGGCCUUUACGGAGCGGCUGGGUACAAGGAAAACCACAAUCUAUGGGACCAAGGGAGAACUAUUCUGUGCUGGGGGGGGACCAGUGCAAGUUUUUGACUUUUGCACAAGAGAGAAAACUGCUUAUCCAACAAACAAAUCCGCAUUCAUUCCAAGCCAUUUAAUGGGGCACGAUGGAGCUGACUACUAUCUGAUGGACAGCUUUAUUUCAGCUUUAACUGAGAAUAAACCAUCCCUCAUUCAGACUGGUCCAGAAGCAACCCUGCAGACCCACCUCCUUGUAUUUGAGGCCGAGAAAUCCAGAAAAGAAAACCGUGUUGUGUUUUUAGAAACUAGAAAGGAACUCUUCCCGAAGCCCACAUACAAAUGAACUUUUAAAUUUGCUCCUUUCAUAUUUAAGGGGACAGAAUAAAAACUGGUCCCAGUUCCCAGGGAAAUCAUGUCUUGUUUAUACUAAUCUGGAAUAUAUCUGGGGAUGGGCACUAUCUAAAAUCAAAUUUUGCAUACUACAGAUCUGUAAAAUGCAAAAGUAUUUGUGUCUAUCCUGGUUUCCUUUAAAGGACACGAAGCUUAUUCUUCAGCAGCACUUCACUUAACCCUUCAGUUCUCUGCCCUGAGAAACCAGCAGUUCGAGGUACAACGGCAAAGGGUUUGACAGCUGGAAGUCAGUUUAAAUCAGCAUUUCUCGCAUGCAGCCACCAGGGGCUUUUUGUGCAGUCAGAACAGCCUCCUGGGCAGUGAUGGAGAGGCCAAAGCAUCAGCCUCGCCCCCUCCCUCCCUGUUGCUCCUGCACUGCCUCUGGAGACA
Molecule: non-coding RNA, 1796 nt
Organism: Chrysemys picta bellii (western painted turtle)
Lineage: Eukaryota; Metazoa; Chordata; Testudines; Emydidae
Source: RefSeq, a predicted model, not a curated record